This 1497-nucleotide ribosomal RNA is filed under the name uncultured bacterium. Its description in RNAcentral is "bacterial SSU rRNA". It matches the Rfam family "Bacterial small subunit ribosomal RNA". The record is from RNAcentral.
UAGAGUUUGAUCCUGGCUCAGAACGAACGUUAGAGAGAUGUUUUAAGCAUGCAAGUCGAGCGGUAACUGCCUUCGGGUGUAGACGAGCGGCGAACGGGUGAGUAAUGAAAAGCUAUCUGCCCAUCAGACUGGAAUAGCCCAGGGAAACUUGGAUUAAUGCCGGAUAUGAGGAAACUUAAAAGGUGCGUUUGCAUCACUGAUGGAUGAGGCUUUUUCCUAUUAGCUUGUUGGUGGGGUAAUGGCCUACCAAGGUGAUGAUAGGUAGCCGACCUGAGAGGGUGAUCGGCCACAUUGGGACUGAGAUACGGCCCAGACUCCUACGGGAGGCAGCAGCUAAGAAUAUUCCGCAAUGGGGGAAACCCUGACGGAGCAAUCUCUCAUGGAUGAUGAAUGUCUUCGGAUUGUAAAAUCCUUUCGGUAAGGAAGAAUGUGUAGAGUAGGAAAUGGCUCUGCAUUGACGGUACUUGCAGAAGAAGUCCCGGCUAACUACGUGCCAGCAGCCGCGGUAAUACGUAGGGGGCAAACGUUGUUCGGAAUCACUGGGCGUAAAGGGUAUGUAGGUUGUUGAGUAAGUAAAAGGUGAAAUCCCAAAGCUUAACUUUGGAAUUGCUUUUUAUACUGCUUAACUAGAGUCUCUUAUAGAGGUAGUAGGAAUUCCUAGUGGAGGAGUAAAAUCUGUAGAUAUUAGGAGGAACACCAAUGGCGAAGGCAAGCUACUGGGUAGAGACUGACAUUGAGAUACGAAAGCUAGGGGAGCAAAUGGGAUUAGAUACCCCAGUAGUCCUAGCCGUAACGUUGUACACUAGUUUUCUGAUGCCUUUUAUGGUAAUGGGAAAUAAAGCUAACGCAUUAAGUGUACCGCCUGGGUAGUAUGCACGCAAGUGUGAAACUCAAAGGAAUUGACGGGGGCUCGCACAAGUGGUGGAGCAUGUGGUUUAAUUCGAUGAUACGCGAAAAACCUUACCUAGGCUUAAACGUGUAAUGAUCGGUAAUGAAAGUUACUUUCUCUUCGGAGCAUUAUGCGAGAUGCUGCAUGGCUGUCGUCAGCUCGUGUUGUGAAAUGUUGGGUUAAGUCCCGCAACGAGCGCAACCCAUGUUUUAUGUUGCUAACUAUUCUUCGGAAUAGAGGACUCAUAAAAUACUGCCCGGGUUUAACUGGGAGGAAGAUGUGGAUGACGUCAAGUCCUCAUGGCUCUUACGUCUAGGGCUACACACGUGCUACAAUGGGAUGUACAAAGAGUCGCAAUACCGCGAGGUGGAGCAAAUCUCCAAAACAUCUCUCAGUUCGGAUUGUAGUCUGCAUCUCGACUACAUGAAGUUGGAAUCACUAGUAAUCACAGAUCAGCAUGCUGUGGUGAAUACGUUCCCGAGCCUUGUACACACCGCCCGUCAAACCACCUAAGUUGGUUUUACCCGAAGUCGUUGUAUCAACCAGCAAUGGAGAAAGAUGCCGAAGGUAAAAUUGAUAAAGAGGGUUAAGUCGUAACAAGGUAACCA